This 770-nucleotide ribosomal RNA is filed under the name uncultured Microgenomates group bacterium. RNAcentral describes it as "bacterial SSU rRNA". It matches the Rfam family "Bacterial small subunit ribosomal RNA", at positions 578 to 1358 of the family's 1533-position model. The record is from RNAcentral.
GUUUAUUAAGCUGGGGGUGAAAUCUCCGGGCUCAACCCGGAGCCCGUUCUCAAAACUGGUAGACUUGAGUAAGGUAGAGGCUGACGGAAUUCUGCAAGUAGGGGUAAAAUCCGUUGAUCUGCAGAGGAACACCAAAAGCGAAGGCAGUCAGCUGGGCCUUUACUGACGCUGAGGGACGAAAGCGUGGGUAGCGAACGGGAUUAGAUACCCCGGUAGUCCACGCCGUAAAUGAUGGAUACUGGACAUUGGUACUCGAUCGUAUCAGUGUCUCAAGCUAACGCAUUAAGUAUCCCGCCUGGGGAGUACGGUCGCAAGAUUAAAACUCAAAGGAAUAGACGGGGACCCACACAAGCGGUGGAGCAUGUGGUUUAAUUCGACAAUAAGCGAGGAACCUUACCAGGGCUUGACAUCCCGAGAAUUCUUUAGAAAUAGAGAAGUGCCUUUAUGGAACUCGGUGACAGGUGCUGCAUGGUUGUCGUCAGCUCGUGCCUUGAGGUGUUCGGUUAAGUCCGUAAACGAGCGCAACCCUAGUCCUAUGUUGUAUAUUUCAUAGGAGACUGCCUUGUCCAACGAGGAGGAAGGUUAGGAUGACGUCAAAUCAGCAUGGCCCUUAUGUCCUGGGCGACACACGUGCUACAAUGGUCGGUACAAUCAGGUAGCCAACCCGUGAGGGGGAGCCAAUCCCAUCAAAGCCGGUCCAAGUUCGGAUUGGAGGCUGCAACUCGCCUCCAUGAAGUUGGAAUCGCUAGUAAUCGCGCAUCAGCCAUGGC